CUCGGACGCUACUGCUAUAUCGAGAUAGUUCGCAGCGGUGAAAGCUCAGCUUGCUGGGUGGCAUCAGUGGCGAACGGGUGAUUAACACGUGAGCAAUCUGCCCCUGACUCUGGGAUAAGCGCUGGAAACGGCGUCUAAUACUGGAUACGAACCGUGGAGGCAUCUUCAACGGUUGGAAAGAUUUUUUGGUCAGGGAUGAGCUCGCGGCCUAUCAGCUUGUUGGUGAGGUAAUGGCUCACCAAGGCGUCGACGGGUAGCCGGCCUGAGAGGGUGACCGGCCACACUGGGACUGAGACACGGCCCAGACUCCUACGGGAGGCAGCAGUGGGGAAUAUUGCACAAUGGGCGAAAGCCUGAUGCAGCAACGCCGCGUGAGGGAUGACGGCCUUCGGGUUGUAAACCUCUUUUAGCAGGGAAGAAGCGAAAGUGACGGUACCUGCAGAAAAAGCGCCGGCUAACUACGUGCCAGCAGCCGCGGUAAUACGUAGGGCGCAAGCCGUUAUCCGGAAUUAUUGGGCGUAAAGAGCUCGUAGGCGGUUUGUCGCGUCUGCUGUGAAAUCCCGAGGCUCAACUUCGGGUCUGCAGUGGGUACGGGCAGACUAGAGUGCGGGUAGGGGAGAUUGGAAUUCCUGGUGUACCGGUGGAAUGCGCAGAUAUCAGGAGGAACACCGAUGGCAAAGCAGAUCUCUGGGCCGUAACUGACCCUGAGGAGCGAAAGGGUGGGGAGCAAACGGCUUAGAUACCCUGGUAGUCCACCCCGUAAACGUUGGGAACUAGUUGUGGAGUUCACUUCCAACGGGAUUCCGUGAACGCAGCUAACGCAUUAAGUUU
Molecule: ribosomal RNA, 831 nt
Filed under: Microbacterium sp.
Lineage: Bacteria; Bacillati; Actinomycetota; Actinomycetes; Micrococcales; Microbacteriaceae
Description: bacterial SSU rRNA
Rfam family: Bacterial small subunit ribosomal RNA
Source: RNAcentral